GAUGAACGCUGGCGGCGUGCCUAAUACAUGCAAGUCGAGCGAACAGACGAGGAGCUUGCUCCUCUGACGUUAGCGGCGGACGGGUGAGUAACACGUGGAUAACCUACCUAUAAGACUGGGAUAACUUCGGGAAACCGGAGCUAAUACCGGAUAAUAUAUUGAACCGCAUGGUUCAAUAGUGAAAGACGGUUUUGCUGUCACUUAUAGAUGGAUCCGCGCCGCAUUAGCUAGUUGGUAAGGUAACGGCUUACCAAGGCAACGAUGCGUAGCCGACCUGAGAGGGUGACCGGCCACACUGGAACUGAGACACGGUCCAGACUCCUACGGGAGGCAGCAGUAGGGAAUCUUCGGCAAUGGGCGAAAGCCUGACGCAGCAACGCCGCGUGAGUGAUGAAGGUCUUCGGAUCGUAAAGCUCUGUUAUUCGGGAAGAACAAAUGUGUAAGUAACUAUGCACGUCUUGACGGUACCUAAUCAGAAAGCCACGGCUAACUACGUG
This 497-nucleotide ribosomal RNA is filed under the name uncultured bacterium. Its description in RNAcentral is "partial 16S ribosomal RNA". It matches the Rfam family "Bacterial small subunit ribosomal RNA", at positions 28 to 507 of the family's 1533-position model. The record is from RNAcentral.